AUGAAUAAUAUGUUUCCAUCAGUAUGUGCUAGUGACCAUCCCCGACUGACUAGGCCUGAAAGAAAGUUAGCUCAUGACUAGAAUACACUAUUAACCAAUCUGCGCUAGUAAUUGCCCUAUUAGAGAGCUGGAAGGAGACUAGAUCCUGAGUCCAUGUGAUCAAUCAGACUAAAGAACAACAAAAUUGAUGAAAUACAAUUCAUAUUCAAGUAAAUCAUAUUAUAUUCAAUCCAUCAAUUUACAAAUCAUUUUCAUAUUGGAGAUAGGAUCAUAAUAAGUUGGGUCAG
This 287-nucleotide long non-coding RNA is filed under the name Elaeis guineensis (African oil palm). Its description in RNAcentral is "long non-coding RNA (EGUI_LNC018049)". The record is from RNAcentral. Lineage: Eukaryota; Viridiplantae; Streptophyta; Magnoliopsida; Arecales; Arecaceae.